UACGUAGGGUGCGAGCGUUAAUCGGAAUUACUGGGCGUAAAGUGUGCGCAGGCGGCCGAGCAAGUCGAGUGUGAAAGCCCCGAGCUUAACUUGGGAACUGCGCUCGAAACUACUUGGCUAGAGUGUGGCAGAGGGAGGUGGAAUUCCACGUGUAGCGGUGAAAUGCGCAGAUAUUGGGAAGAACACCAGUGGCGAAGGCGGUUCUCUGGGACGGUACUGACGCUGAGACGCGAAAGCGUGGGGAGCGAACAGGA
RNAcentral lists this ribosomal RNA (254 nucleotides) under uncultured bacterium. RNAcentral's name for it is "partial 16S ribosomal RNA". It matches the Rfam family "Bacterial small subunit ribosomal RNA", at positions 524 to 777 of the family's 1533-position model. The record is from RNAcentral.